UGCGUAGGCGGUGCGGAAAGUUGGGUGUGAAAGCCCUCGGCUCAACCGAGGAAUUGCGCCCAAAACUACCGUGCUGGAGGAAGAUAGAGGUGAGCGGAACUUAGGGUGGAGCGGUGAAAUGCGUUGAUAUCCUAAGGAACACCAGUAGCGAAAGCGGCUCACUGGGUCUUUUCUGACGCUGAGGCACGAAAGCUAGGGGAGCGAAGAGGAUUAGAUACCCUCGUAGUCCCUAGCCCUAAACAAUGAGCACUGGUUUGGAGGGCCCUCCAUAGCCCUCCAGACGUAGCGAAAGUGUUAAGUGCUCCGCCUGGGGAGUAUGGUCGCGAAGGCUGAA
Molecule: ribosomal RNA, 334 nt
Filed under: uncultured bacterium
Lineage: Bacteria
Description: bacterial SSU rRNA
Rfam family: Bacterial small subunit ribosomal RNA
Source: RNAcentral